Molecule: ribosomal RNA, 253 nt
Filed under: uncultured bacterium
Lineage: Bacteria
Description: partial 16S ribosomal RNA
Rfam family: Bacterial small subunit ribosomal RNA
Source: RNAcentral
UACGGAGGGUGCAAACGUUGCUCGGAAUCAUUGGGCGUAAAGCGCACGUAGGCGGUCUGCUAUGUCGGGUGUGAAAUCCCUCGGCUUAACCGAGGAAGUGCAUUCGAAACUGGCAGACUUGAAUACUCAAGAGGGUCUCGGAAUUCCCGGUGUAGAGGUGAAAUUCGUAGAUAUCGGGAGGAACACCAGUGGCGAAGGCGGAGACCUGGGGAGAUAUUGACGCUGAGGUGCGAAAGCGUAGGGAGCAAACAGG